RNAcentral lists this transfer RNA (75 nucleotides) under Bradyrhizobium sp. 41S5. Its description in RNAcentral is "tRNA-His". It matches the Rfam family "tRNA". Rfam says of the family: Transfer RNA (tRNA) molecules are approximately 80 nucleotides in length. Their secondary structure includes four short double-helical elements and three loops (D, anti-codon, and T loops). The record is from RNAcentral. Lineage: Bacteria; Pseudomonadati; Pseudomonadota; Alphaproteobacteria; Hyphomicrobiales; Nitrobacteraceae.
GCCGCUUUCGUUCAAUGGUAGGACGCUGGGUUGUGGACCCGGUAACGAGAGGUUCGAUUCCUCCAAGCGGUGCCA